Molecule: transfer RNA, 130 nt
Filed under: Conexivisphaera calida
Lineage: Archaea; Thermoproteati; Nitrososphaerota; Conexivisphaeria; Conexivisphaerales; Conexivisphaeraceae
Description: Conexivisphaera calidus tRNA-Trp
Rfam family: tRNA
About the family: Transfer RNA (tRNA) molecules are approximately 80 nucleotides in length. Their secondary structure includes four short double-helical elements and three loops (D, anti-codon, and T loops).
Source: RNAcentral
GGGGCCGUUGCCUAGCCAGGCAAGGCGUCGGGCUCCAGAGGUCAAAGAGGGAAUUGACCGCGAGGGAUGAUGAACCUCUGGAGCUGGGGCAACCCGAAGAUCGGGGGUUCAAAUCCCUCCGGCCCCACCA